AUGGCCGCCGGCGACCGCCGCCUGCGGCUGGGCUCCUACCUCGGCGACGUCUCCGCGCUCUCCUUCCUCCCCUCCUCCCCGCGCCCCCUCCUCCUCGCCGGGACCGGGUCGGAGCUGCUCGUCUACGACCUGGAGGCCGCCAGGCUCGUCGCCUCCUUCCGGGUCUUCGACGGCGUGCGCGUCCACGGCAUCCAGCCCCGCGGCUCGCCCCCAGCCGACGGGCUCACCGUCGCCGUCUUCGGCGAGAGGAGGGUGAAGCUCCUCAGGCUCCGCGUCGACGCGGAGGAUGGCGGGGCGGUCGGCGUGCGGCUGGAGCUGGAGCAGAGGCUCCCCGGGUUCGACCACUGGGUGCUCGACGCUUGCUUCCUCGAGGUGGACGGGCUGCUCGCCAUCGGUUUGGGCGACAAUUCAGUGGCAUUGUGGGAUUUGAAGGACCGCGUGUUUGUUACCAGAGUGAAUUCUCCAGAGAAGUGCCUUCUUUAUUCAAUGAGAAUGUGGGGGGACUCUGUUCAAUCCCUCCUCGUAGCUUCUGGAACCAUUCUAAACGAGAUUCUUAUUUGGAAAUUGGUACCUGAAACCCGGAGUUCUUCCUUGUUAAGUUCGGACGAGUUGGGCGCCACUGGUGUAGAGAACCGUGAAAAACAACAUUCUAGUGGUAAUAAAUACAUGGCUGUUCAUAUUGGAAGGCUGAAGGAACAUGAAGGUUCAAUAUUUCGAAUAGCUUGGUCCUCUGAUGGAUCAAAGUUCAUGUCUGUCUCUGACGAUCGCAGUGCUCGCAUGUGGAUGUUAAGUUGUCAGCCACAGGAUCUUACCAAUCAAGCAGCCAAAAUUGAUGAUGUGGACAUUAUACCCAAACUGACACUUUUCGGACACAGUGCUAGAAUUUGGGAUUGUUGCAUAUCUGAUUCUAUAGUUAUAACUGCUGGCGAGGAUUGUACUUGCUGCAUUUGGGGCAUGGAUGGAAAGCUAAUCAAAACAUUCAAAGAACACAUUGGCCGAGGAUUAUGGCGAUGUUUAUAUGAUCCAAGCUCACUAGUUCUGAUCACCGCGGGGUUUGAUUCUGCAAUCAAAGUGCACCACCUAUGUAACUCCUCUUUUCAUGACAUAUUGGAAGAAAACGUGGCCCCAGAUGGUCUGAAAUACGAUUCUGAGGUGUUUGAAAUAUCUUCUCCUAUAGUAUCAGGACAGCAUGGUGCCUUGGAUAGCAAAAGCGAAUAUGUCCGAUGCUUACAUUUUGUGCAAGAAAAUGUUCUCUAUGUUGCCACAAACAAUGGAUAUCUGCAUCAUGCUGAGCUCUCUGAUACAAAAGAUCCAAGAUGGACUGAGGUUAUUCAGGUCACUGAGAAAGCACCAAUUAUAUGUAUGGAUGUAAUGACAGGGUGCUCAGACAUUUCUUUGGAUAAGGAGGAUAUAAUUGCCCUUGGAGACGGUCGUGGAAAUGUUACUAUUGUCCGUUUAAGCAGUCCCAGUCUUCUUGAACCUAAAAUGGAUUUAUCUUUCACCUGGCAAGCUGAAAAGGACAGGCAACUACUAGGACUGUACUGGUGCAAGUCACUUGAAUGUAGCCACAUUUUCACAGCUGAUCCUAGAGGCACUCUUAAGUUAUGGAACAUAAGAAAUGCCCUUUUCUCAAAUGGCCAUCCGAUUACUCAGGAGGUUUCACUUGUUGCAAUGUUUGAAUCUCCCUUUGGGGCUCGAAUCAUGUGUUUAGAUGUAUCACUUCAAGAUGAGAUCCUUAUAACAGGUGAUAAGAAGGGUAACAUCGCUGCCUUUCCUUUUCAUAAAACAUUGGCAGCACAUGACAGCAGUGAGGCACAACAGAAGAUACCUUUACGUGACCGUUUUAAAGGAGCUCAUGGCAUUUCUGGUGUCACAAGUGUUCAGAUAAUCACCUCAGCUUCAGAUCAUAUUGAAAUCCACACUACUGGGGGAGACGGCUGUAUUUGCUUCUUCAAGUAUGGGAGGAAUGUGAAAAACGUUGAAUUUGUUGGAAUGAGACAAUUGAAAGAAUUAGGCACCAUUCAAUCGAUCUACGCUAAUCAUACCUCUGUUAACCAAUUGGUUGGUACCUAUGCAAUAGGUUUCACCUCUGCGGACUUUAUCAUUUGGGACCUUGAAAAUGAUACAAAGCUAGUUCAAAUAUCCUGCGGAGGAUGGCGUCGCCCUUACUCUUAUUAUCUUGGGACAGUCCCUGAGUAUCAAAACUGUUUCGCCUUCGUAAAGGACCACAGUAUUCAUGUGCAUAGACACUGGGCACCAACUCAAGAUAGGAAGCUGCUUCCUCAAGUUUUUCAUACACAGUUCCAUGGAAGGGAAGUGCAUUCUCUUUGCUUCAUAGAUCCAGCAAGCUAUUCAAUUCCUCAGAAGAGUACGGAUUUGUGGAUUGCAACCGGGUGUGAAGAUGGAACAGUCCGGCUUACAGGGUACUCGGCUAGUAGUGCUGGAAGAUGGUGUUCAUCCAAGCUGCUGGGGGAGCAUGUUGGUGGGUCAGCUGUGAGAGAUACUUGUUUCAUCCCAAAGACUUACACAUUAGCAGAUAAAUCAUGCAACUCCAGUGUCAGUUCUGCCGACAUUUUGGUCGAAAACAAGGACACCACUUACAUAUUGAUAUCUGUUGGAUCAAAGCAAGUUCUGACGGCUUGGAUUCUAGAACCUAGGAUUGCAGAGAAGAAACAAGUGUGUUUGAGUGGUCUAGAUUUAGACACCAAGCAAAGCUCGGAAUGCUCACACAAUAGUGAUUCAGCCGUUACAUUUCAGUGGCUUUCUACCCACAUGCCACCAAAGCUUGCCACCAAUAGGUUGAAGGGUGAUCUUGUAAAACGGAAAUUCGAGGAAGGCGGGGAAGGAAAUUCCUCUGCUCAACCCAAUCUGGCUAUUAUGGAUCAGAUGGAAAAUGACUGGCGUUACCUUUCUGUUACAGCAUUUCUUUUGAAACAUCCGGCUACCGAGUUGACAGUUUGUUUUGUGGUUGUUGCUUGCUCUGAUGCAACAGUUAUUGUCCGUGCGCUUCUUUUGCCUUCUCGGCUAUGGUUUGAUGUUGCCUUGCUGGUCCCACAGGCAUCACCAGUUCUUGUGCUACGGCAUAUUGUCGUCGCCUCUGGUGCCCAUUGUGAAGGUGAUGUUUAUAAUGGCGAUAGGUACAUUAUCGUGAGUGGGUCUACAGAUGGUAGCAUCACAUUGUGGGACCUAACAGACACCAUUCAUGGUUUUAUGCAACUAGUAUCAGAGACUAAACCACACAUGGUUAUCGACUGCCAAAAGCGGCCCAAGACAGGAAGAGGGAGUCAGGGUGGUCGUCGUCGUGAGAACAAUCUGAGUAGCUCGUGCGCUGCUGCAGAGAGUCCACAUGAAACUUCAGGAGCGGCAGAAAUCGAGGCCAUAAAAAACACCGAGGACACAGUUUCAAGUACCCAGUCAUGUGAUAUACCUGAGCUGCAGCCAUUGCAGAUGUUCUCCGGUGUUCACCAGUCAGGCGUCAACUGCCUCCAUGUUUCCGAGAUGGAGCAGCGAUCAAGCUCUGCACCUGGCAUGUCUUAUUGCAUCGUAAGUGGCGGUGAUGAUCAGGCGGUUCAGUGUUUUGUUUUUACACUAGGACCCCUGCCGGGCUGCUCAGCGAACACGGCAAGCCUAAGCUUGCCAUGUGACAAUGGCGAACUUAAAAUACUUGGCCAACACACGGUCCCCUCGGCCCAUGGUUCAGCAGUGAAAGGUAUCUGGACGGACGGCGCCUGGGCUUUCUCCACCGGGCUUGACCAGAGAAUCAGAUGUUGGAAGAUGGGCCCAUCCGGCAGAUUCACGGAGCAUUCCCAUGUCAUCAUCAGUGUGCCCGAGCCGGAAACUCUGGAUGUUUUCCAUUACCGUGGGAGCGGGAAAUACCACAUCGCCGUUGCAGGAAGAGGGAUGCAGAUGGUUGAGUUCUCGCCGCCUGAAGACGACUCGAUGAAGAUAGCGUGA
RNAcentral lists this ribosomal RNA (3954 nucleotides) under Triticum aestivum (bread wheat). RNAcentral describes it as "partial small subunit ribosomal RNA". Lineage: Eukaryota; Viridiplantae; Streptophyta; Magnoliopsida; Poales; Poaceae. The record is from RNAcentral.